RNAcentral lists this microRNA (22 nucleotides) under Oryza sativa (Asian cultivated rice). RNAcentral describes it as "osa-miR1861o". RNAcentral also lists the same sequence under 1 other name. Lineage: Eukaryota; Viridiplantae; Streptophyta; Magnoliopsida; Poales; Poaceae. The record is from miRBase by way of RNAcentral.
UGAUCUUGAGGCAGAAACUGAG